Molecule: ribosomal RNA, 450 nt
Filed under: uncultured bacterium
Lineage: Bacteria
Description: bacterial SSU rRNA
Rfam family: Bacterial small subunit ribosomal RNA
Source: RNAcentral
GUGGGGAAUAUUGGACAAUGGGCGAAAGCCUGAUCCAGCCAUGCCGCGUGUGUGAAGAAGGUCUUCGGAUUGUAAAGCACUUUAAGUUGGGAGGAAGGGCAGUAAGUUAAUACCUUGCUGUUUUGACGUUACCGACAGAAUAAGCACCGGCUAACUUCGUGCCAGCAGCCGCGGUAAUACGAAGGGUGCAAGCGUUAAUCGGAAUUACUGGGCGUAAAGCGCGCGUAGGUGGUUCAGCAAGUUGGAGGUGAAAUCCCCGGGCUCAACCUGGGAACUGCCUCCAAAACUACUGAGCUAGAGUACGGUAGAGGGUAGUGGAAUUUCCUGUGUAGCGGUGAAAUGCGUAGAUAUAGGAAGGAACACCAGUGGCGAAGGCGACUACCUGGACUGAUACUGACACUGAGGUGCGAAAGCGUGGGGAGCAAACAGGAUUAGAUACCCUAGUAGUCC